Molecule: non-coding RNA, 3512 nt
Organism: Coturnix japonica (Japanese quail)
Lineage: Eukaryota; Metazoa; Chordata; Aves; Galliformes; Phasianidae
Source: RefSeq, a predicted model, not a curated record
AGCUGCUUUGGAUGUGCUGUGUGAAAAGAUGUCAGGGACAAGGGUGCCAGACCGAAGGAAUGCACACCAGUGCCUCUGCAGUAGUGAAGGAUGGGUAUUUAUUAAGCAAACAGUUGUGAAACUAUUACAAAAAAGAUCAUGGAGGCAGUGUAAAUGGAAUGGUCUUCAUUUGUAGCUGUAACAGUUAAGAAGAUCCUGCAGUGCUGAUCAUUUUCCCAGUCUCUAGGGAAGCAACUGCAAUGUGCCAACACACUGUGAGUAUCAAAGCUGGCAUGGAGUGCCUGCCCUCCUGCUGAGAGACCCUCAUAAAAAUAAGGUGAGUUCAGUAAAAUUACCCAGCAGGCCUUGGUGAAAAUGAGCAGAGGAGACCAACUGUUAAUAUGAUGAUGUCAAGCUCAUUGUUCUACAAAAAUGUAGUUGCUGGUACUGCAAUCAAGGAAAAACAGCAAGGAAAUCUGGGAGAAAAGCUGUUUUUCCAUUUACUUCAACCGUUCUGCCUAGACUAGAAAAAUAAAAGCAAACAAAAGCAGUUAGUUUAACCCUUGCAAAUGCCUGCAUGUAACUGAAAAACCUGAUGUUUCUUUCAGGGUUUUAAUCUUUGCACUUCGUUCUGGUGAUGCAGCCACUGUAGGCUUUGGACACUGCAAUCAAAUGUGAUUUCAUGCAGUUCUGGUUGUGAGUAGCCCGGAUUUCAUGGCAAAAAGAUGAGAUCUUAUGGACAGGAGCAAGAUACCUAAGCCACUCCAAAAGUAAUGCCUCCUACUUAUUUAUCUGGAAGCUGCAACAGAUACAAGGAGUGUAAUAAUGCUGGUUUAUAGAGUAAAUUCUCAACACAUUGCUUUGAGGCACAGUCAGUCGAUGUUGCUUUUUGCUCCAGAGGAGCUACUUUAAUUAGAAUGUUAUCCAUAAUCAGCAAGUCCUUUCAAAGCUUGGAUCAAUGGAGGUUCUCCAUUCCUAUCUUUUUGAGCCAAAGGAAGGAAUGACAAGAGAUAAUAAAAAAUCACAGUAGAUGUUCUUAUCGGCUGGUUCAAUCAGGUAUCUACUUAUCAUUCUACUUCAUUAGAAAAGAAAAACCACACUUUUUUAAUCUUCUGACCUUGAAAGGCAGAGAACCUGGCCUGUUGUGUGACAGGCUCAAAAGAUAACCUUCUUUUCCCUUCUUUUCCUUUUCUGAAUGAAAGGAUACAUGUUUCUGCAGUGGUAAAAUAAGUGUUGGGUUUUUUUUGUUGUUGUUUUUUGUGAGGGUUUGUUUGUUUGUUUUUAAGUUAAACAAUAUGGAAGAGCUUUGGUAAUAUCCAUUAGAGGAUGUAGGGCUUUUUUAAACUGACAUAGUAGUGAACCAAGAAUAUGCCCUCUUUUAUUCCCUAAGUACCAACAAAAUUGCAUGAAUCUACUGGUCCUUCUUUCAGUCUUCAGCGCUCUAAGAGAUUUAACCUGUUGUGUAACAAAAGGGUGCAUAAAAAAAAACACUUAAAAUAAGCUUUAUAAACUUAAUGUGCAGGAUGGGUAUACAUAAUAUAUCAAUAAGAAUGCUGUAGGUUUCAAGGAUAAAAUUACUGUGAAAUUUAGAAACUAUGACAGAUAUUUGCCCUGGAGGCAGUGGAGGGGUACUGCUGGUAGCAGGGAAGCUAUUGCACUCUGCAAAAAACUUGAAGUACGUAAAUCUAUUGUUUGGUUAUGUGGAAAGAAUAGUUUAUAGAAAAUUGGAAGGAAAAGAUUUCAAAUAAAUCCUUUUCUUUGUCCCUUGAGCUAUACCAAAAUUCCAGAUUACAUUUUGACCUUAUCUACUUGCGUUCAUUUUGUUUUACUUUUCUGUGUAAUUGAGGUGAUAACCUCAACUCUAAAUACCCCAUGCAUUUCCAUCUUUUCAAUUUCCUCUCUCUCUUUCCAUACCUUGGUUACAGAAGGGUUGUGUGGCAGUGUAAUUCUAAUUCUACUGUGCUCCAACUGACCUCAGAUCUGGGAUAGCUGUGCGACUUUAUAGUAUUUUCUUUGCUGCAAAUAAAUGCUGCUUGGAAAGCUCCCUUCAUGAUUCAGUAUUAUAGAAGUAACCAUCUUUAAUUCGCAGAGUAUUUUGCAAGGACUUAGUGAUCUAUUUGCCAGUUUGACUCUUGGGAAUCAUAAGUGAAGGGAACAAGAAAGUAGAACUGUACCUGGGGAGAGGUUGGAAGAAACACUGGAAAGAAAAAGACAAGGAAUGUUGCCAUUGUUGGUACAACAGGGGGAUGAAAAAAAAAAAAAAAAGAAAAAAAAAAAAAGAUGGUCUAAAUACUACAUUAGCUACUACAAGAUUUGCUUUAAAUAUUAUCUGGAGAAGCAAAUUAUUUUUUAAUAGCCACAGCUGACUCAAAAUGAUGUUCUGUGCCCAAAGUAAUUUCUUUUAAUGUUUAUAGCAUGUAAACCCUUAGAGUCUGUUGUAAUCGUUAAUUCUGUAUUUCUGUCUGUUAAAGGAUGAGUAGUUUGGGGAUCAAUUUUACAGCACCUAGCUAGAAAUUAAGUACAAAUUUCCAUUUGUGAAAAAUCUAUCUCAUUUGUUAAAAUAUUCUAUGAAAUCAUGAACCCUCUCAGUUAAAAAUACAUUAAAAAACAUUCCAUAGAUGGAACUUUUGCUUCCAGACUUUCUCUAAGAAAUAAACCAAAAAAUCAUGGAAGUAGAUGCUGAUAAUUCCCUAUGUUUACAUUCCCUACGUAUAAAUAUAUAUAAAUAUAUUUUGGGAAAUGAAAUUAAGCUAGAUGAACUUGAUUCCUCCUUCUUUCAAAAUACCUUCACAUAAAGGAAGGCUGAAAUAGACAUAUAAUAGCAGAAGAAAUUUUAAACUAUGAACACAAAUCAAAUUGCUUGGAAAAGGCUUUUCUCUUUUGUGUAUUACUUUUUAAAAUGACAAGCAGACCAGGAAAAUGAGUUGAUCUUUUCAGCUUCACACAAAUUUUAAGAUUCUUCUUUUCAUUCUAUAGUAAUUCAUUGAUGUUUCUCCAGUUAAUGUUUAGGACAUGAAGGCUUUAUUUGGUGUCGUGCUUGUUUAGUUGAGAAGAAGUAUCACUGAUCAUCCAAGAAUAGCUUUAAAUGGAAUCCAGCUUGCAGCUGGAAAAUGGGUCUUGAAACAAUUAAGUUAGAGUUAUAGUUGCAGAAUUUAAAGAAAGAGAAGCAAAGUGGGAAAAAACAAAUAAUGAUUAUUGGAUGGAAUUUUAUUGACUUCCAGCUAUAGUCUUCACAUUGUUUGAAAAUCUUUUAAGUUGUUCAGAAAACACCAUUCCUGUAACUUAGUGUGAAGGAACAAUGCACAUGUAUUAAUUCUGUCUCACAGAAUAAGACUUAGAAACUGACUUGUGAAAACCUAUAGCCUUUUCUGUGUUUUAAAUGCUAUUUCUUCCAGACUAAGUCAAUUUGUGUUUUUUAGCCUGAAAAGUUCUUUCCAUGGCUGAAUGAAAAAACAGUCGUGGAGAAAUUAGAUAAGUCAUUGUUCCACACCAGAGUAAUUUUCUUUCUCUCUUUGUCCUUGCUGGUGCUGAGU